This 497-nucleotide ribosomal RNA is filed under the name uncultured bacterium. RNAcentral's name for it is "partial 16S ribosomal RNA". It matches the Rfam family "Bacterial small subunit ribosomal RNA", at positions 28 to 507 of the family's 1533-position model. The record is from RNAcentral.
GAUGAACGCUGGCGGCGUGCCUAAUACAUGCAAGUCGAUCGUACAGACGAGGAGCUUGCUCCUCUGACGCUAGCUGCGGCCGGGUGAGUAACACGUGGAUAACCUACCUAUAAGACUGGGAUAACUUCGGGAAACCGGAGCUAAUACCGGAUCAUAUAUUUAACCGCAUGUUUCAAUAGUUAAAGACGUCUUUGCUGUCACUUAUAGAUGGAUCCGCGCCGCAUUAUAUAGUUGGUCAGGUAACGGCUUACCAAUGCAUCGAUACUUAGCCGACGUCAUAGGAUGCACGGACACACCGGAAUCGGGACACGGGCAAGAAUCCGUAGGUAGGCAGCAGUAUGGAAUCUUCCGCAAUGGGCAGAAGGCUGAGGGAGUAAAGUCGCGUAGUUAAGGAAGAUCUAAGGAUAGUAAAAAUCUGUUAUUAGGGAAGAACAAAGAUGUAAGUAAGAAUGCACGACAUGACGGUACCUAAGCAGAAAGCAACGGCUAACUACAUG